CAUUACAGAGUUGCAAAACUCCCAAACCAUCGCGAACUUACCGUACCGUUGCUUCGGCGAGGGGCUCCGGGGAGGAGCCGCGGCCCUAACGGGUGCUCGCCGCUAGCCCAAUAACUCUGAAUUCUUGGUAUCUCUGAGUAUAACAUACAAAUAAGUUAAAACUUUCAACAACGGAUCUCUUGGUUCUGGCAUCGAUGAAGAACGCAGCGAAAUGCGAUAAGUAAUGUGAAUUGCAGAAUUCAGUGAAUCAUCGAAUCUUUGAACGCACAUUGCGCCCGCCAGUAUUCUGGCGGGCAUGCCUGUUCGAGCGUCAUUUCAACCAUCAGGCCCCCGGGCCCGUGUUGGGGCACUGCGCGCCAGCCGCGCAGGCCCUCAAAACCAGUGGCGGGCUCGCUGUCGCACCGAGCGUAGUAACACAUCUCGCUUCGGACGUGCGGCGGGCGCUUGCCGUAAAACACCCCCCUUCUCAAGGUUGACCUCGGAUCAGGUAGGAAUACCCGCUGAACUUAAGCAUAUCAAUAAGCGGAGGAAAAGAAACCAACAGGGAUUGCCCUAGUAACGGCGAGUGAAGCGGCAACAGCUCAAAUUUGAAAUCUGGCCCCCAGGCCCGAGUUGUAAUUUGUAGAGGAAGCUUCUGGCGAGGUACCUGCUGAGUCCCCUGGAACGGGGCGCCAUAGAGGGUGAGAGCCCCGUAUAGCAGAGUG
Molecule: ribosomal RNA, 704 nt
Filed under: fungal sp.
Lineage: Eukaryota; Fungi
Description: eukaryotic LSU rRNA
Rfam family: Eukaryotic large subunit ribosomal RNA (bases 474-704)
Source: RNAcentral